This 461-nucleotide ribosomal RNA is filed under the name uncultured bacterium. RNAcentral's name for it is "bacterial SSU rRNA". It matches the Rfam family "Bacterial small subunit ribosomal RNA", at positions 56 to 513 of the family's 1533-position model. The record is from RNAcentral.
UGCAGUCGAGGGGCAGCACGGGUAGCAAUACCUGGUGGCGACCGGCGCAAGGGUGCGUAACGCGUGAGCAACAUGCCCUAUACAGGGGGAUAAUCCAGGGAAACUUGAUCUAAUAUCCCAUAGUAUUUAGAGGAGGCAUCUUCUAUAAAUUAAAGCUUCGGUGGUAUAGGAUUGGCUCGCGUGACAUUAGCUAGAUGGUGAGGUAACGGCUCACCAUGGCAAUGAUGUCUAGGGGUUCUGAGAGGAAGGCCCCCCACACUGGGACUGAGACACGGCCCAGACUCCUACGGGAGGCAGCAGUGAGGAAUAUUGGACAAUGGAUGGAAAUCUGAUCCAGCCAUGCCGCGUGCAGGAAGACAGCCCUAUGGGUUGUAAACUGCUUUUAUAUGGGAGCAAUAAGGUCUACGUGUAGACUGAUGAGAGUACCAUAUGAAUAAGCAUCGGCUAACUCCGUGCCAGCA